RNAcentral lists this ribosomal RNA (378 nucleotides) under uncultured bacterium. RNAcentral's name for it is "bacterial SSU rRNA". It matches the Rfam family "Bacterial small subunit ribosomal RNA", at positions 521 to 896 of the family's 1533-position model. The record is from RNAcentral.
UAAUACGUAGGGUGCAAGCGUUGUCCGGAAUUAUUGGGCGUAAAGAGCUCGUAGGCGGUCUGUCGCGUCUGCUGUGAAAACUCAGGGCUUAACCCUGAGCUUGCAGUGGGUACGGGCAGACUAGAGUGCGGUAGGGGAGACUGGAAUUCCUGGUGUAGCGGUGAAAUGCGCAGAUAUCAGGAGGAACACCGGUGGCGAAGGCGGGUCUCUGGGCCGUAACUGACGCUGAGGAGCGAAAGCAUGGGGAGCGAACAGGAUUAGAUACCCUGGUAGUCCAUGCCGUAAACGUUGGGCGCUAGGUGUGGGGCUCAUUCCACGAGUUCCGUGCCGCAGCUAACGCAUUAAGCGCCCCGCCUGGGGAGUACGGCCGCAAGGCUA